Molecule: transfer RNA, 75 nt
Filed under: Gammaproteobacteria bacterium
Lineage: Bacteria; Pseudomonadati; Pseudomonadota; Gammaproteobacteria
Description: tRNA-His
Rfam family: tRNA
About the family: Transfer RNA (tRNA) molecules are approximately 80 nucleotides in length. Their secondary structure includes four short double-helical elements and three loops (D, anti-codon, and T loops). Further hydrogen bonds mediate the characteristic L-shaped molecular structure. tRNAs have two regions of fundamental functional importance: the anti-codon, which is responsible for specific mRNA codon recognition, and the 3' end, to which the tRNAs corresponding amino acid is attached (by aminoacyl-tRNA synthetases). tRNAs cope with the degeneracy of the genetic code in two manners: having more than one tRNA (with a specific anti-codon) for a particular amino acid; and 'wobble' base-pairing, i.e. permitting non-standard base-pairing at the 3rd anti-codon position.
Source: RNAcentral
GUGAACGUAGCUCAGUUGGUAGAGCCCCGGAUUGUGAUUCCGGUGGUCGUGGGUUCAAGCCCCAUCGUUCACCCA